RNAcentral lists this ribosomal RNA (491 nucleotides) under uncultured bacterium. Its description in RNAcentral is "bacterial SSU rRNA". It matches the Rfam family "Bacterial small subunit ribosomal RNA", at positions 40 to 507 of the family's 1533-position model. The record is from RNAcentral.
CGGCGUGCCUAACACAUGCAAGUCGUACGAGAAAGUUGGCUUCGGCCGAUGAGUACAGUGGCGCACGGGUGAGUAACGCGUGGAUAAUCUGCCCUUAAGUGUGGAAUAACGUACCGAAAGGUGCGCUAAUACCGCAUAAUGCCUGGCAACAUAAGUUGUCCGGCCAAAGAAGGCCUCUGCUUGCAAGCUUUCGCUAAAGGAUGAGUCCGCGUACCAUUAGCUAGUUGGUGGGGUAACGGCCUACCAAGGCGACGAUGGUUAGCUGGUCUGAGAGGAUGAUCAGCCACACUGGAACUGAGACACGGUCCAGACUCCUACGGGAGGCAGCAGUGAGGAAUAUUGCGCAAUGGGGGCAACCCUGACGCAGCAACGCCGCGUGAGUGAGGAAGGUUUUCGGACUGUAAAGCUCUGUCGAGCGGGAAGAAGUGUACCAUGGCUAAUAUCCAUGAUAUUUGGCGGUACCGCUAGAGGAAGCACCGGCUAACUCCGUG